RNAcentral lists this ribosomal RNA (928 nucleotides) under uncultured organism. RNAcentral describes it as "bacterial SSU rRNA". It matches the Rfam family "Bacterial small subunit ribosomal RNA", at positions 545 to 1486 of the family's 1533-position model. The record is from RNAcentral.
CCGGAUUCACUGGGCGUAAAGAGCGUUGAGGCGGUUCCGUAACUUGGGCGUGAAAGCUCCGGGCUUAACUCGGAGAUGUCGUUCAAUACUGCGGGGCUUGAGGACAGCAGAGGAAGGUGGAAUUCCCGGUGUAGUGGUGAAAUGCGUAGAUAUCGGGAGGAACACCCGUGGCGAAGGCGGCCUUCUGGGCUGUUCCUGACGCUGAAGGCGAAAGCUAGGGGAGCGAACGGGAUUAGAUACCCCGGUAGUCCUAGCUGUAAACGAUGGAUGCUGGGUUUGGGGGGUGUAAAUUCCCUCUGUGCCGAAGCAAACGCGUUAAGCAUCCCGCCUGGGGACUACGGCCGCAAGGCUAAAACUCAAACGAAUUGACGGGGGCCCGCACAAGCAGCGGAGCGUGUGGUUUAAUUCGAUGCUACACGAAGAACCUUACCUGGGUUUGACAUGCACGUGGUAGGGAACCGAAAGGGGACCGACCUUCGGGAGCGUGCACAGGUGCUGCAUGGCUGUCGUCAGCUCGUGCCGUGAGGUGUCGGGUUAAGUCCCGUAACGAGCGCAACCCUUGCCCUUAGUUACAAGUGUCUAAGGGGACUGCCCGGGACAACUGGGAGGAAGGUGGGGAUGACGUCAAGUCAGCAUGGCCUUUAUAUCCAGGGCUACACACACGCUACAAUGGCCGGUACAAUAGGUUGCGAAGUCGUGAGGCGGAGCCAAUCCUCAAAGCCGGUCUCAGUUCGAAUUGCAGACUGCAACUCGACUGCAUGAAGCUGGAGUUGCUAGUAAUCGCAGGUCAGCUAUACUGCGGUGAAUACGUUCCCGGGCCUUGUACACACCGCCCGUCACGUCAUGGAAGCUGGCAACGCCUGAAGCCGGUGAGCUAACCCGAAAGGGAGGCAGCCGUCGAGGGUGGGGCUGGUAACUGGGACGAAGU